Molecule: non-coding RNA, 21 nt
Filed under: Arabidopsis thaliana (thale cress)
Lineage: Eukaryota; Viridiplantae; Streptophyta; Magnoliopsida; Brassicales; Brassicaceae
Source: RNAcentral
AGAUAGAUGAUGUUGUUUACG